UAGCAUAACGAGGCGAACCGGGGGAACUGAAACAUCUAAGUACCCCGAGGAAAAGAAAUCAACCGAGAUUCCGAAAGUAGCGGCGAGCGAAAUUGGACUAGCCCUUAAGCUUUACACGCGUUAGACGAACAGCCUGGAAAGGCCGACGAUACAGGGUGAUAGUCCCGUAGUUGACGACGUGUGUUCAGUGAAAUCGAGUAGGGCGGGACACGUGAUAUCCUGUCUGAAUAUGGGGGGACCAUCCUCCAAGGCUAAAUACUACUGACUGACCGAUAGUGAACCAGUACCGUGAGGGAAAGGCGAAAAGAACCCCUGUGAGGGGAGUGAAAUAGAACCUGAAACCGUGUACGUACAAGCAGUAGGAGCAGGCUUGUCCUGUGACUGCGUACCUUUUGUAUAAUGGGUCAGCGACUUAUAUUCAGUGGCAAGGUUAACCAUCUAGGGGAGCCGUAGGGAAACCGAGUCUUAACUGGGCGUUCAGUCUCUGGAUAUAGACCCGAAACCAGGUGAUCUAGCCAUGGGCAGGUUGAAGGUUGAGUAACAUCAACUGGAGGACCGAACCGACUAAUGUUGAAAAAUUAGCGGAUGACUUGUGGCUAGGGGUGAAAGGCCAAUCAAACCUGGAGAUAGCUGGUUCUCCCCGAAAGCUAUUUAGGUAGCGCCUCGGACGAAUACUACUGGGGGUAGAGCACUGUU
This 696-nucleotide ribosomal RNA is filed under the name uncultured bacterium. RNAcentral describes it as "bacterial LSU rRNA". It matches the Rfam family "Bacterial large subunit ribosomal RNA", at positions 167 to 914 of the family's 2925-position model. The record is from RNAcentral.